RNAcentral lists this transfer RNA (68 nucleotides) under Marmota monax (woodchuck). RNAcentral describes it as "tRNA.Ser". Lineage: Eukaryota; Metazoa; Chordata; Mammalia; Rodentia; Sciuridae. The record is from RNAcentral.
GGUUUGUGGCUCAGUGGUAGAGUGCUUGCCUAGAACAUCUGAGGCACUGGGUUCGAUCCUCAGCACCA